GCGAAAGACUAAUCGAACCAUCGAGUUGCUGGUUUCCUUCGAAGUUUCCCCCAGGAUAGCUAGGGUAAAGAGAGCUCCAUCAGGUAAAGCGAAUGAUUAGAAGUACCGGGGCUGAAACAGCCUCGACUUAUUCUCAAACUUUAAAUGGGUGGGAUUCGGUUGCUGCUUAAUUGAGCAUCCGAUUUUGAGUCGAUACCCUUAGUGGGCCAUUUUUGGUAAGCAGAACUGGCGAUGCGGGAUGAUCCGAACACAGAGUUAAAGUGCCAGAAUGUACGCUCAUCAAGACCCCACAAAAGGUGUUAGUUCAUACAGACAGUUGGGCGGUGGCCAUGGAAGUCGGAAUCCGCUAAGGAAUGUGUAA
This 361-nucleotide ribosomal RNA is filed under the name Symbiodinium sp. clade D. RNAcentral's name for it is "partial Eukaryotic large subunit ribosomal RNA". It matches the Rfam family "Eukaryotic large subunit ribosomal RNA", at positions 923 to 1285 of the family's 3401-position model. The record is from RNAcentral. Lineage: Eukaryota; Dinophyceae; Suessiales; Symbiodiniaceae.